UGACGACGCAAGCAGGAAAUCCCCGCGUAGGCCAGGCCGUCUCAUUUCAGGGGCCGCUCGGUUUAGCCCAGGUCGACCACGAAGGCUGGGUCCUCUGGAGGAUGCAGCCGACGAAAGGAGACACAUUGUUUGUUCAUGUGCUUUGCACAGGCAGCGCAGGAAUGACAGUAGAACAACAACUACUGCAUUAGCAAUUAUUUUAAGGGUCGACGAGCAAGAUGGUGAAGAAGUGAAGUUAAAUGUCGGACCUCGACCUUCAGGUGUUGGAGAUGUGAAGAAGAGUUCCUUUAGAGCCGUGGCAGUGCUUCUGGGUCUCCUGAGUUUCUUCCUUCUGACAGGACUCAUAACUUCGGUUUGCCUGUUCACCAAAGGCAUCUCACAGAGGGAAAUGGAGAUAAUCCUGUUACAGACCAGUUACACCAACCUGACUAAAGAAAGAGACAACCUCUUGAAAGGAGUUCAACACUUGGGCAAUGAACUAAAUAUUUGUCUCACAAAGAUACAAACAAAUGCGUUAUCCAACCAAAGACGGGCGUAUAAUGGCGUAUUUCAUGGACGGGUAAGAAGAGAUGGAAAUGGGUGGAUGGGACGCCGCUGACCAAAAGGUCGGAGCAGAGUUGAAGAGUUUUUUAAACCCUUUGGAGCCAAAUGGACAUCGGUUAAGAGAUGAAGAUGUAGAAAAGAACAGCUGUUAUUUGGAAAACAGCUAGAAUGAUGACCAGUGUGACCACAAAACACUUUGGAGAAGAAAUGUCCUUCAUAACUCCAAACCAAGCAUUCAAACUAACUAAACAAUGAGUUAGAAACAAGGAAAUACUCAAUACUUGGUUCUCUAGUUUAAGCUGAAGUUGACAAGGCAGUUUAACAUAAUGCUAAGCAAGCUACUCUCCAGGUAAAGUGUCCAAUUAAGUGUAAAUGCUCUGAAUUUGAAUAUGAAUAUCUAGUUCUGUGCUUCCUUUUAAACACUGAAUAUGAUGAGUAUUAUUAUUGACAACUCACCUAAAUCCAACCCUAAAUAAGAUGUAAUGAUAUUUCAAUUAUUCCAACAGAUCAUUAUUGCAUCCUGCUUUAAUUGUAUUUUCUAUUGGAAGUAUAAAAGCAUGUGGAACUUCUUCUGCUAAAGAAAGACAUAUUUUAAAUCACUGCUUAAUAAAUAUGUCCAUCCAUCCAUCCAUUGUCAAACCGCUUAUCCUGCACACAGGGUCGCGGGGGGGCUGGAGUCCAUCCCAGCCAACUUCGGGCGAUAGACAGGGUACAUCCUGGAUUGGUCGCCAGCCAAUCGCAGGGCUACACAGAGACAUAUAACCAUUCACACUCACACAUCUACGGGCAAUUUAGAGUCCCCAAUUAACCUGAUCCCCAGAGCAUGUCUUUGGACUGUGGGAGGAAGCCGGAGAACCCGGAGAGAACCCACGCAGACACGGGGAGAACAUGCAGACUCCACACAGAAAGGCCACUGGGCGGAAUCGAACCCAGGACCUUCUUGCUGUGAGGCAACAGUGCUAACCACCAUGCCACCGUGCCGCCCUCUUAAUAAAUAUGUGGUCAAUUUUAUGUUUCCUGCCCUAUUUUAACUUCUACUUCUUCUACAUACAAGUAUUGACAAGUAUUUUUGGGUUGAAUAUAGUUUUGACCCAGUUCUAUAAUUUUUUGGAAUAAACAUUUGCUUUCAUUCUUCACUUAAAUAUAUUUUUACAUAUUCGCUUUGUUAUAUGUUUAGGAUUUCAGAUAUAUAUUUUUAGAGUAUUUCCCUCCAGCUCAUACCUUUACAAACAGACAUGUAUAACAGACAUACUGAAGGUUUUGCAUAUAUACUGUGCUCAGUGGACAAAUAUAUAAAUGCCAUAACUGCCAUUUGACAAGGUUGUACAAUGUGCUUAAUUACUUGUUUGAUUUUUCCCCCCCACUGGGUUUCUGCCCAAGACUUGGUCGCUCAUCGUCAUAUUCUACUGCCUCCUCCUGGUUUCCUUUGUAUUUGAUGUGUCUUCCCUCUUUUGUUCCCUAUUUGUCAAGAGUGAGCUGAUAUUCUCCCCUAUUCAAUCAAUUCAGAGGAUGUCAAAUAGGGGAAUAAAUAGUUAUGCUGAAAGACAAUAUCCGACUCUCACUUAAAACUUUUUCACUUUACUGACUUACUAAUUUUAUGAAAUAAAAUAAACUGUUGGUACAUGCCAUAACCUCAUCUUCCCUUUACCUUUGUACGUAUGUGGUAUAACUCCUCAAACUAUCUCAACGG
Gasterosteus aculeatus aculeatus (three-spined stickleback) is the source of this 2233-nucleotide long non-coding RNA. The record is from Ensembl. NCBI's taxonomy places the organism in Eukaryota, Metazoa, Chordata, Actinopteri, Perciformes, Gasterosteidae.